UGCAGUCGAGCGGAACGAGUUAUCUGAACCUUCGGGGGACGAUAACGGCGUCGAGCGGCGGACGGGUGAGUAAUGCCUGGGAAAUUGCCCUGAUGUGGGGGAUAACCAUUGGAAACGAUGGCUAAUACCGCAUAAUAGCUUCGGCUCAAAGAGGGGGACCUUCGGGCCUCUCGCGUCAGGAUAUGCCCAGGUGGGAUUAGCUAGUUGGUGAGGUAAGGGCUCACCAAGGCGACGAUCCCUAGCUGGUCUGAGAGGAUGAUCAGCCACACUGGAACUGAGACACGGUCCAGACUCCUACGGGAGGCAGCAGUGGGGAAUAUUGCACAAUGGGCGCAAGCCUGAUGCAGCCAUGCCGCGUGUAUGAAGAAGGCCUUCGGGUUGUAAAGUACUUUCAGCAGUGAGGAAGGUGGUGUACUUAAUACGUGCAUCAUUUGACGUUAGCUGCAGAAGAAGCACCGGCUAACUCCGUGCCAGCAGCCGCGGUAAUACGGAGGGUGCGAGCGUUAAUCGGAAUUACUGGGCGUAAAGCGCAUGCAGGUGGUUUGUUAAGUCAGAUGUGAAAGCCCGGGGGCUCAACCCUCGGAAUUGCAUUUGAAACUGGCAGACUAGAGUACUGUAGAGGGGGGUAGAAUUUC
RNAcentral lists this ribosomal RNA (635 nucleotides) under uncultured bacterium. RNAcentral describes it as "bacterial SSU rRNA". It matches the Rfam family "Bacterial small subunit ribosomal RNA", at positions 56 to 670 of the family's 1533-position model. The record is from RNAcentral.